GUACCCGCUGAACUUAAGCAUAUCAAUAAGCGGAGGAAAAGAAACUAACAAGGAUUCCCCUAGUAACGGCGAGUGAAGCGGGAAUAGCUCAAAUUUGAAAUCUCAUAGGUUUACCUGUGCGAAUUGUAGUUUAAAGAAACGUUUUCGGGAGCGGCUUGGGUAUAAGUCCUUUGGAAAGAGGCACCUAAGAGGGUGACAGUCCCGUGCAUGAUCCAAUGUCCGCUUCUAUGUGAUACGUUCUCAAAGAGUCAGGUAGUUUGGGAUUGCUGCCUAAAAUGGGUGGUAAAUACCAUCUAAAGCUAAAUAUUGGCGAGAGACCGAUAGCGAACAAGUACCGUGAGGGAAAGAUGAAAAGAACUUUGAAAAGAGAGUUAAACAGUACGUGAAAUUGCCAAAAGGGAAACGCUUGGAACCAGUAUUGUUUGCAUGUAAUCAAGUACACGUUCCGCAAGGGUCGCGUGUGCUGCACUUGCGUGUAGACAGGCCAACAUCAGUUUGAUUUGAGGUACAAAGCCUGAGAAAGGUAGCUUGGAUUCGUCUGAGUGUUAUAGUCUCUGGUCAUGCCUUGGAUUGGACUGAGGACUGCAGCGUUUUUUGGGUUGCCGGGUGGCUGCUUGAAACCAACCUUUAGACAGCAUGCUGACUUUGGGCGGGCGUAGGGUACUCAUCAGGAUAAUCACACCAGCGCUUAGGAUGUUGGCGAAAUGGUUCCAAACGACCCGUCUUGAAACACGGACCAAGGAGUCUAACAUAUAUGCGAGUAUUUGGGUGGCAAACCCUUAUGCGAAAUGAAAGUAAAUUUGGUGCGAUCUUUAAUGCGCAGCAUCGACCGGUCUGGAUUCUUUUGAUAGAUCUGAGUAAGAGCAUACAUGUUGGGACCCGAAAGAUGGUGAACUAUGCCUGAAUAGGGUGAAGCCAGAGGAAACUCUGGUGGAGGCUCGUAGCGAUUCUGACGUGCAAAUCGAUCGUCAAAUUUGGGUAUAGGGGCGAAAGACUAAUCGAACCAUCUAGUAGCUGGUUCCCUCCGAAGUUUCCCUCAGGAU
RNAcentral lists this ribosomal RNA (1043 nucleotides) under Geranomyces variabilis. RNAcentral describes it as "eukaryotic LSU rRNA". It matches the Rfam family "Eukaryotic large subunit ribosomal RNA", at positions 22 to 979 of the family's 3401-position model. The record is from RNAcentral. Lineage: Eukaryota; Fungi; Chytridiomycota; Chytridiomycetes; Spizellomycetales; Powellomycetaceae.